Molecule: ribosomal RNA, 70 nt
Filed under: uncultured soil eukaryote
Lineage: Eukaryota
Description: partial 28S ribosomal RNA
Source: RNAcentral
CUUCGACCUCUAAAUCAGGUAGUGGCUACCCGUCUGCAAUCUUAACGCAUAUCAAUAAUGCGAGAGGAAA